Molecule: long non-coding RNA, 278 nt
Filed under: Homo sapiens (human)
Lineage: Eukaryota; Metazoa; Chordata; Mammalia; Primates; Hominidae
Description: HSALNT0329641
Source: RNAcentral
GUUUAGUAUUGAUUGUUAGUGGUGUGAUUGGGUGUGUUAUUAUUCUGAAUUACGGGGGAGGUUACAUGGGUUUAAUGGUUUUUUUAAUUUAUUUGGGGGGAAUGAUGGUUGUUUUUGGAUAUACUACAGCGGUGGCUAUUGAGGAGUAUCCUGAGGCAUGGGGGGUCAGGGCUGAUUCGGGAGGAUCCUAUUGGUGCGGGGGCUUUGUAUGAUUAUGGGCGUUGAUUAGUAGUAGUUACUGGUUGAACAUUGUUUGUUGGUGUGUAUAUUGUAUUUGA